UCUUUGUUCGGCUGGUAUUUGCGCUCCUCCAUCAUCAAGCAGCCCGGACCACAGGCCGCCCGGAGCGGGGAGCAGAGGACCGUACGCCACCGGGGAUAUCUGUGGGAAAAACGCAGUGAAAUUGCAAUUUAUGAUGGUGGAAACUCAGAGGAGAACUGCUACUACAACAUAGCGUCGAGAUGAUUCCCAUACACAGAGAAGGAGAAAGGUCGUUCAUUGUGAUGACGGUCUCAAUCCGGCCGGUUUCCUCUGCUUAAGGACUACAUUUCCCAUGGAGCUGUGCACUGACACACACACUGUUGUACCAUGGAGCCACCAGUCAGGGUUUUGGACCCAAAGAGCCAGUGAGACAGAAGAAGACCUGAUAUUGUGAUAUCUUCCUCCCGUCGUCUCCCCACUUUGCAUCGAUCCUGCUCGUCUUCCUGCAGACCGUCCUUCUCUCUGAAGGCCUCGUCUGGCCGGCUGGAUCAACACCCCCGACCCCCCC
Molecule: long non-coding RNA, 487 nt
Organism: Anoplopoma fimbria (sablefish)
Lineage: Eukaryota; Metazoa; Chordata; Actinopteri; Perciformes; Anoplopomatidae
Exons: 3
Source: RefSeq, a predicted model, not a curated record